Molecule: ribosomal RNA, 57 nt
Filed under: Corynespora cassiicola
Lineage: Eukaryota; Fungi; Ascomycota; Dothideomycetes; Pleosporales; Corynesporascaceae
Description: partial 28S ribosomal RNA
Source: RNAcentral
CCCCCACACCAGAAUUUUGACCUCGGAUCAGGUAGGGAUACCCGCUGAACUUAAGCA